UUUUAGCCCCGAUAGUAGUGGAAAUCCUUUUUAAUUUUUUCUUUAAAAUUAAAAAGAUUGCAACGGAUAGCGGGAAAUAGC
RNAcentral lists this small RNA (81 nucleotides) under Flavobacterium dankookense. RNAcentral describes it as "Flavobacterium sp. ARSA-19 Flavo-1 RNA". It matches the Rfam family "Flavo-1 RNA". The record is from Rfam by way of RNAcentral. Lineage: Bacteria; Pseudomonadati; Bacteroidota; Flavobacteriia; Flavobacteriales; Flavobacteriaceae.